UCGUGAAUUAGGUUAGUCUAUUUCUGUCGGAUUCCUCCAUUCCCUGUGUUCUGAUUUGUUGUGAUACAAUACUUAUUAUUUUUUUCUAAGCUACAUUUCUUUUUAAAAAUCAUGGUUUUAAGUGAAAAAGAGCAACAGUGAGUGCAUCAUCCAUCCGCUGAAGGCAAUUUCGCUGAAAUCACUGGAAAUGAAUACCCAGAGAAUGAAAAAUGAUCAGAAGGUUUUUGGAGAGAUUCAUGAGGUUUCAGAAAAAUAUAAGAAAUGGUGGACACAGAAACUCAUCGUAUGAAAAAAAUUGUAAAAUCGACCAGUGAUGUCGUUAUUUUAGAUAAGGAUGUAGGUUGUCAUUAAAUACAUAUUAUGCUACAUAUCAACAGAUAAUCAACAAGCCACAUAACGAUUUUACAGUUUGCAAGUAAAAUGUAUGAAAAAACGUUGGGCUUCUCAAGCAAUGAAAAUGGCGUCGCUUCAGCAAAUUUAAAGUGCGCAACCGCUGCUGGCACUGCGCCAGCUUGAUCAUCUACAGUACACGACGACCUGAGAUUUGAAUUAACAUUGUCUCUUAAUGGAAAAUUCUAUUCUGCUUAUUGCCAACGUGGUCAAAGGAGAGUGUAGUAGUUUGUUACAGUAAACUUUUGAUUUUUAAACGAAAACAAAAGGCCGUAAAGGAAGGCACUGAUUUCACUGGGGCAAGUACCGUCAAAAUUAAGGAAAUUAAACAGCUGCAAGGAUCCAGUUCUUUAAAAAAAAAACACGGUUUAAAGUUAAAAGCGAGAGCGGUUUCAGUUCUUUUAAAAAAAGAUGGGCUGAGACCGAGCUUCAAAUCCCGCCCACAGCGAGAUGCAGUGGUUAAAAACAUAUUCCACAAACUGAACAUCAGAUCGUGCUUUCUUUCCUCGUUACAACAACUUUAGUUGCCGUCCAGCAAAGGAAAGAAAAGGGAUUUUUUUCUAAUUUAAAUCAAGCUUUUCCGACGAGGUAGGACAGGCGCUAAAUCAGCUAAAGUGACGGACCGAAUGCAAUGAAGAGAGGCGAUGCCGGAGAUUCUUAGCCCAGGUUUUAUAUUUUAUUUCCAGAGAUCGGUGCGAGCAGCAAAAGGGUGGAAAUCGGCUUAAAAUUGAAUAAGAUGAAGGGGAAGGAGAGGGAUUCACUGAUAUCGCCAUGUUGCGCGAAAUCGACAGCUCGCCCUCGGCACUUAAAAUGGAAGCUUUAAUUUUAAACAAAAUCAUUUAAACAAAAACUCGAACGAAUCGAGUCGAAAUGAUUCGGGGAACCUUAAGGGGAACUUAAAAGUCUUUUUUUUUUAAAGAAACAAAAAAUCGGCAUCCAAACCCGCCCGUUGCCAUAAACAAGCGUAGACGGAAAGGCUUCACUCGGUUUUUUUCCUCUACUCGCGAUGGGCUUUAGGUUUAUCUUAUUUUAGCUGUUCGGGAGGAAGCAGCUGCUGGCCAACGGUAGUAGAAUGGGCAGUGAGCCCAGCGUGGCACCGGGGUCCUUGCCCUGAACCAAGCGUGCGUGCGCAUCCACCCCGCCGGCCGGCCGCGCCCCAGGCACCGCCCACACCGCCGCUCAUUGGUCGCCUUCCACAGAGACUGAGGUUUUGCUGGGGAGCGCUUCACCUCAAAGAUCCUAUAGCUUCCCCUCCUGCUCUCUGUCCCGCUGAGUUUCUCCAUCCAGCUUUUUAUCUCUUAUCUGCCUUCCCACUCCGGUAACUUUGCAUUUUUCCCAGUCCGCCCUUUUAUUUAGCGGCGUUUGGACUAGUUGCUUAAAGACAGCGUUGACCUUUCACCCUGUAUCCACGCCUUCCUUCAGUAGAAGGAAUGUAGUUGAGUUUCGCGAAUCGCCCCUGAACUUUCACGUACUGUGUUGGAAUUCAGUUUUGCAACAACAGUGAUACGAGGGAAGUGACCCUUAGACAUAAUCGACUUUGUGUAACUCGGGUUGAGAUCAUGGUGUCGUUUGAUUUUCGUUGCAGUGCAGAUUGCAGCAUAAUCUGCAAUGUUAGAUGCUGUCUCACCUGCUGAGUUUCUCCAGCAUUUUUGUCUACUUGCUACUUCCUUAACGUUUGCUAAUAGUAGAUUCCACUUUCAAUAACUCCGACGUGUAAAUGGUUACUAAAAUGUUUUGUGACUCGUUCAACUCGGGCGUUUUAUUCCUGCUCCAUUAAAUAAAAACAUAUUAAAAUCCGAAAA
Leucoraja erinaceus (little skate) is the source of this 2192-nucleotide long non-coding RNA. RefSeq lists it as uncharacterized. The record is from RefSeq and is a predicted model, not a curated record. NCBI's taxonomy places the organism in Eukaryota, Metazoa, Chordata, Chondrichthyes, Rajiformes, Rajidae. The transcript has 2 exons.